GUGGGGAAUAUUGGACAAUGGGCGAAAGCCUGAUCCAGCAAUGCCGCGUGAGUGAUGAAGGCCUUAGGGUUGUAAAGCUCUUUUACCCGGGAUGAUAAUGACAGUACCGGGAGAAUAAGCCCCGGCUAACUCCGUGCCAGCAGCCGCGGUAAUACGGAGGGGGCUAGCGUUGUUCGGAAUUACUGGGCGUAAAGCGCACGUAGGCGGCUUUGUAAGUUAGAGGUGAAAGCCUGGAGCUCAACUCCAGAAUUGCCUUUAAGACUGCAUCGCUUGAAUCCAGGAGAGGUGAGUGGAAUUCCGAGUGUAGAGGUGAAAUUCGUAGAUAUUCGGAAGAACACCAGUGGCGAAGGCGGCUCACUGGACUGGUAUUGACGCUGAGGUGCGAAAGCGUGGGGAGCAA
Molecule: ribosomal RNA, 400 nt
Filed under: uncultured Sphingomonas sp.
Lineage: Bacteria; Pseudomonadati; Pseudomonadota; Alphaproteobacteria; Sphingomonadales; Sphingomonadaceae
Description: bacterial SSU rRNA
Rfam family: Bacterial small subunit ribosomal RNA
Source: RNAcentral